Molecule: long non-coding RNA, 408 nt
Filed under: Lathyrus oleraceus (garden pea)
Lineage: Eukaryota; Viridiplantae; Streptophyta; Magnoliopsida; Fabales; Fabaceae
Description: Pisum sativum (pea) long non-coding RNA (PSAT_LNC012214)
Source: RNAcentral
CGCAAGCGGGUACUUCCUUCGAAUGCGUCGGAUCUCGAUCUCAAAAGAAGCCUUCAUCUGAGUCUUCUCGAGGACAAGCUGAUCAAAAAUCUUCUUCCAAGCAACGGAAGGGUGGGGCAUACUAUAGGAAGAUGAAACCUCUGACUCUCUCUGUCUCUUCGUUACUCGGUCUUCAAGAAGCUCAAUAAAUGCAUCUUUGUUCUUAGACUCAAGUUAUAACUCCUCAUGCUUUCUGCUCAAAGCAUGGAAACGCUCUUCCCACAUGUCUUUUUCUUGCUUCAUCUUGGAGAGUGUGUCUUCCAACUCCUCUACAUCUUGGUUAGGGGGAGUUAAUGGCUCAACCACAACCAUAGACAUAGGUCUUUCACAAGCAUAAGGCAUCUUCGACUCCAAAGCUCUCUUCUUCAC